Molecule: ribosomal RNA, 453 nt
Filed under: uncultured bacterium
Lineage: Bacteria
Description: partial 16S ribosomal RNA
Rfam family: Bacterial small subunit ribosomal RNA
Source: RNAcentral
ACGGGAGGCAGCAGUGGGGAAUAUUGGUCAAUGGGCGGAAGCCUGAACCAGCCAAGUCGCGUGAAGGAUGAAGGUAUUAUGUAUUGUAAACUUCUUUAGCAGUGGAGUAAUAAGGGGAUCGUGAUCCCUGAUGCAAGUACACUGAGAAUAAGGAUCGGCUAACUCCGUGCCAGCAGCCGCGGUAAUACGGAGGAUCCGGGCGUUAUCCGGAUUUAUUGGGUUUAAAGGGUGCGCAGGCGGCUUUUUAAGUCAGUGGUAAAAUCGGGGAGCUCAACUCCAUCCCGCCAUUGAUACUGGAGAGCUUGAUUGCGGUCGAGGUUGGCGGAAUUCGUCGUGUAGCGGUGAAAUGCAUAGAUAUGACGAAGAACACCGAUUGCGUAGGCAGCUGACCAGGCCGUAAAUGACGCUCAUGCACGAAAGUGCGGGGAUCGAACAGGAUUAGAUACCCUGGUA